RNAcentral lists this long non-coding RNA (666 nucleotides) under Malus domestica (apple). RNAcentral's name for it is "long non-coding RNA (MDOM_LNC011029)". The record is from RNAcentral. Lineage: Eukaryota; Viridiplantae; Streptophyta; Magnoliopsida; Rosales; Rosaceae.
AUCCAAUUUGAUAAUAAUCCAAUUUAAUGAAUAAUCCACCAAUUUGAUAAAAAAAAAAAUCCUAAUAUAAAACAUGGUGAUGAAUAAUAAUCCAAUUUGAUAAUAAUAAUCCAAUUUGAUAAUAAUCCAAUUUAAUGAAUAAUCCACCAAUUUGAUAAAAAAAAUAAUCCUAAUAUAAAACAUGGUGAUGAAUAAUAAUCCAAUUUGAUAAUAAUCCAAUUUAAUGAAUAAUCCACCACUUUGAUAAAAAAAAUUAUCCUAAAUUAAAACAUGGUGAUGAAUAAUAAUCCAAUUUGAUAAUAAUCCAAUUUAAUGAAUAAUCCACCAAUUUGAUAAAAAAAAAUAUCCGAAUAUAAAACAUGGUGAUGAAUAAUAAUCCAAUUUGAUAAUAAUCCAAUUUAAUGAAUAAUCCACCACUUUGAUAAAAAAAUAAUCCUAAUAUAAAACAUGGUGAUGAAUAAUAAUCCAAUUUGAUAAUAAUCCAAUUUAAUGAAUAAUCCACCAAUUUGAUAAAAAAAUUAUCCUAAUAUAAAACAUGGUGAUGAAUAAUAAUCCAAUUUGAUAAUAAUCCAAUUUAAUGAAUAAUCCACCACUUUGAUAAAAAAAAUAAUCCUAAUAUAAAACAUGGUGAUGAAUAAUAAUCCAAUUUGAUAAUAAUCCAAUUUA